Molecule: ribosomal RNA, 253 nt
Filed under: uncultured bacterium
Lineage: Bacteria
Description: partial 16S ribosomal RNA
Rfam family: Bacterial small subunit ribosomal RNA
Source: RNAcentral
UACGAAGGGGGCUAGCGUUGCUCGGAAUCACUGGGCGUAAGGCGCACGUAGGCGGUCUUUUAAGUCAGGGGUGAAAUCCUGGAGCUCAACUCCAGAACUGCCUUUGAUACUGGGAGACUUGAGUCCGGGAGAGGUGAGUGGAACUGCGAGUGUAGAGGUGAAAUUCGUAGAUGUUCGCAAGAACACCAGUGGCGAAGGCGGCUCACUGGCCCGGUACUGACGCUGAGGUGCGAAAGCGUGGGGAGCAAACAGG